ACAGGGAUUACCUUAGUAACGGCGAGUGAAGCGGUAACAGCUCAAAUUUGAAAUCUGGUCCCCUCUGGGGGCCCGAGUUGUAAUUUGAAGAGGAUGCUUUUGGCGAGGCGCCUUCCGAGUGCCCUGGAACGGGACGCCACAGAGGGUGAGAGCCCCGUAUGGUAGGACGCCGAGCCUCUGUAAAGCUCCUUCGACGAGUCGAGUAGUUUGGGAAUGCUGCUCAAAAUGGGAGGUAAACCCCUUCUAAAGCUAAAUAUUGGCCAGAGACCGAUAGCGCACAAGUAGAGUGAUCGAAAGAUGAAAAGCACUUUGAAAAGAGAGUUAAACAGCACGUGAAAUUGUUGAAAGGGAAGCGCUUGCGACCAGACUUGCGCCCGUCGGAUCAACCGUCCCUCGUGGGCGGCGCACUCCGGCGGGCUCAGGCCAGCAUCAGUUUUCCCGGGGGGAGAAAGGCGGUGGGAAUGUGGCUCUUCGGAGUGUUAUAGCCCUCCGCGUAAUGCCCCCGGGGGGACUGAGGACCGCGCGUAAGCAAGGAUGCUGGCGUAAUGGUCGUCAGCGACCCGUCUUGAAACACGGACCAAGGAGUCGUCCUAAUAUGCGAGUGUACGGGUGUAAAACCCCUGCGCGUAAUGAAAGUGAACGGAGGUGAGAGCUUCGGCGCAUCAUCGACCGAUCCUGAUGUUCUCGGAUGGAUUUGAGUAAGAGCAUAUUGGGCCGGACCCGAAAGAAGGUGAACUAUGCCUGUAUAGGGUGAAGCCAGAGGAAACUCUGGUGGAGGCUCGCAGCGGUUCUGACGUGCAAAUCGAUCGUCAAAUAUGGGCAUGGGGGCGAAAGACUAAUCGA
RNAcentral lists this ribosomal RNA (843 nucleotides) under Cephalotrichum microsporum. RNAcentral's name for it is "eukaryotic LSU rRNA". It matches the Rfam family "Eukaryotic large subunit ribosomal RNA", at positions 68 to 938 of the family's 3401-position model. Lineage: Eukaryota; Fungi; Ascomycota; Sordariomycetes; Microascales; Microascaceae. The record is from RNAcentral.